CCUACGGGUGGCAGCAGUGGGGAAUAUUGUGCAAUGGGCGAAAGCCUGACGCAGCGACGCCGCGUGAGGGAUGAAGGUCUUCGGAUCGUAAACCUCUGUCAGCAGGGAAGAACGGUCACUGUGCUAAUCAGCAGUGAAUUGACGGUACCUGCAAGGGAAGCACCGGCUAACUCCGUGCCAGCAGCCGCGGUAAUACGGAGGGUGCGAGCGUUAAUCGGAUUUACUGGGCGUAAAGCGCUCGUAGGCGGUAUGUCAAGUCAAGGGUGAAAUCCCCGCGCUAAACGUGGGAACUGCCUUUGAAACGGGCAAACUGGAGUGUGUGAGAGGAUAGUGGAAUUCCAGGUGUAGGGGUGAAAUGCGCAGAUAUCUGGAGGAACAUCAGUGGCGAAGGCGACUAUCUGGCACAUAACUGACGCUGAGGAGCGAAAGCGUGGGUAGCAAACAGGAUUAGAUACCCUUGUAGUC
Molecule: ribosomal RNA, 465 nt
Filed under: uncultured bacterium
Lineage: Bacteria
Description: partial 16S ribosomal RNA
Rfam family: Bacterial small subunit ribosomal RNA
Source: RNAcentral